CACGUAGGGGGCGAGCGUUGUCCGGAUUUAUUGGGCGUAAAGAGCUCGUAGGCGGCUCGGUAAGUGAGGUGUGAAAACUCCAGGCUCAACCUGGAGACGCCACCUCAUACUGCCGUGGCUAGAGUCCGGUAGGGGAGCAUGGAAUUCCUGGUGUAGCGGUGAAAUGCGCAGAUAUCAGGAAGAACACCUAUGGCGAAAGCAGCUCUCUGGGACGGUACUGACGCUGAGACGCGAAAGCGUGGGGAGCGAACAGG
RNAcentral lists this ribosomal RNA (254 nucleotides) under uncultured bacterium. RNAcentral's name for it is "partial 16S ribosomal RNA". It matches the Rfam family "Bacterial small subunit ribosomal RNA", at positions 524 to 776 of the family's 1533-position model. The record is from RNAcentral.